AACCUUUUCAAAAACUUUCUAUUCCAUUCCUUUCCUCUCUCACGGUAUUCUUCCAUCCAUUUCAGUUUCUCUACUCAAUUCGCUCCUCCUUCUGUGUCUCUCUGUGUAUUCUUUCUCCACUGAACUAAAUUAGAAUAACGGAUACACAUCGCUACCGCCUGCAAAUUCAGCUCCCUGAAAAUCCUCAUUGGCGGCACAGAAAUUCACUCUGUAUUAUCUAUUCGUCGUCCUUUGUAUUCCCCAAUCGUCGUCUGCCUUAGGGUUUUCUAAUGACUUUGAUCGCCGGCCAACGCUUAACAUACUGGAAUAACCUUACGCAGAAUCAUCUUCAUUAUGAAGUCAGUUGGGCAAUUCAUUAUGCAAGUUCAAAAAGCUAUAAUGGCUUGCAACUCAAAACAUUAACUAGGAUGGAUCAAAUUGGCUUUUCUCGAGAUUUUUGUUGUCUUGCUCAUUUAAAGUGCAAAAUAGUUGAAGUUAAAGUGUGGGCUUACAAUGGUUUAAUUGCCUUCCUAACUUAUGUGAAGGAAAUCCAUUGAGGACUCUCAAAAGAUUAAUAGUACACAUGUAUGCCGAAGACAAUACAAACUUGGAAUUCAUUUGGCAGAUGUAAUCGGCAGAACUAUCAUGAGACAAUGAGACAGGUCUACUACUUCAGGAUAUAAAAAAGACUUAAGAGGGGCAUACUCUUCUACAAGUUGGUAGAUUAUUGCACCAGUUCAUUGUGGUCGGUUACAUGACAAUAGAAGAAGAAAGAUUUCGUUAUAUUUGGAAUAAUUAAAAAAAAAAAAAGUCUAGAUUGAUAUUUUUUUCUAGACUGAUGGAUGAUUAUUAAAUGGUAGGAAAAACUAUUAUUUUGGCUUCGUUACAUGUUGGAGGAUCUUGAUAUAAGAUACAACAUUACCACGAUGCAGUUGCAAUAAUAUGUUAAACGGUAGGAAAGGUUAUUUUCUUGGUUUUGUCACAUAUUGAGGAACCUUGAUAUCGGUACGCUGGAUAUCUGAUUGUUACAUACUUCCACUUGAGAUUGAAAAUCUUAACUACAUCCA
Long non-coding RNA from Lycium ferocissimum, 1046 nucleotides. RefSeq lists it as uncharacterized. The record is from RefSeq and is a predicted model, not a curated record. Lineage: Eukaryota; Viridiplantae; Streptophyta; Magnoliopsida; Solanales; Solanaceae. The transcript has 2 exons.